RNAcentral lists this unclassified non-coding RNA (2129 nucleotides) under Leishmania donovani. RNAcentral describes it as "gene:LdHU3.20.2120(CDS-product:amidohydrolase_put ative)". Lineage: Eukaryota; Euglenozoa; Kinetoplastea; Trypanosomatida; Trypanosomatidae. The record is from RNAcentral.
CAAUCAAGUAGACCCUAUACCCCCCCCGCUAUCCACUACUUCAUCAGCUUCUUAUCCCAUCCUCUGCACAUCAAUCAUGACUUCACCGAUAAGCGCUCUGAUUCAGGAGGUGCAUCCGGAGGCUGUGCAGUGGCGGCGCCACAUCCACGAGUAUCCAUAUGUUGCGUAUGAGGAGCAGCCCACCGCCGACUACGUGGCGGACGUCCUCAGCAGCAUGCCCGCACCGCUGGACAUUCGCCGGCUGACGCCGAACAGCGUCGUGGCGGACCUGCGGGGUGGCACUGGCGAGGGACCCAUGUACGCCCUGCGCGCCGACAUGGAUGCACUGCCGCUGCAGGAGGAGAGCGGCGAGCCCUUCAGCUCGAAGCGGCCAGGCGUGAUGCACGCGUGUGGCCACGAUGCCCACACGGCGAUGCUGCUUGGGGCGGUGAAGGUGCUGUGCCAGAUGCGCGACCGCAUCCGUGGGACUGUUCGCUUUGUUUUCCAGCACGCCGAGGAGGUGGUCCCGAGCGGCGCGAAGCAGCUGGUGGGCCUUGGUGUGCUGGAUGGCGUGUCCAUGAUCUUUGGGCUGCACGUCGCUGCAGAAUACCCUGUCGGCACCAUCUCGACCCGACCGGGCACCCUCUGCGGUGCGUGCGACGACUUCGACAUUGUGAUCCGCGGUGCUGGCGGCCAUGCCUCGCAGCCGGAGCUGUGUGUCGACCCCAUUCUCAUUGCCUCCGAGGUCGUGGCAAACCUCCAGUCCGUUGUAUCACGCCGCGUGAGCGCUCUGAAGGCCCCUGUACUGAGCGUGACGCAGAUCGUGGGCGGCACCGGUGCGUACAACGUGAUUCCGGAUACCGUGCGCAUGCGCGGCACACUGCGCUGCCUCGACCGCGACACUCAGGCUCGGGUGCCCUCUCUGAUGGAGGAGAUCAUCGCCGGCAUCACGAAGGCGCACGGCGCCCAGUACGAGCUGAGCUGGCUGGAGCCCAACAUCGUGACGUACAACGACCCGAAGGCGUACGAAGUGGUGAAGAGCGUAGCUGAGGAAAUGCUUGGUAAAGAUGCGUUUAUUGUGAAGGAAGAGCCGGGGUUCGGCGUGGAGGACUUCUCGGAGUACCAGGCAGUGAUCCCGGGCUGCUAUGCUUUACUCGGAGCGAAGCCGUACGGCGACGGGAAGGCUCCACUGGCGCACAACUGCAUGUUCCGAGUCAACGAGGACGCCUUUGCCCACGGGAUCGGGUUGCACGUGAAUGUCAUACGCCGUCUGCUGAUGGAUUAGUAAGCCUCACCCAAGUGCGUGUUUGCCAUCACGCUGACGCCCAUCCACGCAGCCCGCGAUUGGAGUGAGCGGAGAACGACGGCGCAACAGCUGUUUUCCAGCUAACGUCAUGGCUGACACUGAUGUGCUCCCCUGCGAGAGAUUGCGCCGGGCGUGCGCCCCUCUCCAUCCUCCUUUUCUCCUCUGUUCGUUGUCGAGGAAGCGCGUUCGUCAUUGUGUAUUCUCUUCACCCGCUUCUCACAUCGAUUUCCUCCUUCCCCCUCCCCCCAAAGCGAUGCUUUCCUGUGAGGAAAGCAUGCCACUGUUUCUUGUUGUACACACACAUCAUUUGCUUGUUUCUUCUGCCUACUUAUCCUACCUUCUUUGCUUGCCAGCCUUGGUCCCUUCCAUUCUCCCCGUCCGCGCCACCCUUCCUGUCUCCUCACGUGUGUGGCGAUGGUGUGAUUGCCAUUUCAUAUAUAUAUCCCUGUUUGCUUUGCUGUCACGCACCCCCCCCUCCUGCACACACAGAGUGAAUAUGGGUACACCUUAUCGACUCCAUUAUAGAGGCGCUGCCGCCUCUUCCUCUAUUUUUUUUUUCGAACGUACACGAUACUUCACCGCGCCUUCGACAGCUGCUACAUGGAGCGCACGCAAACGGGAGAUGACGGAGGCCAGAAGACGCAAAGUGCACAUACGUGAGCAGCAGAACAGGACAAUGAGAAGCAGGGUCCUUCUGCAGCCCUCAUAAACGAAGACGCCGCAGUGCUUGCUCCGUCGCAAGUCAUCAGUGCCGUUGAAAACCUUCUUGCUGUGACACAGGCAGCAGAAGAGUUGCACAUACACAUAUAUAUAUAUAUAUGUGUGUGUGUGUCUGAGUGUGUAG